UACGUAGGGUGCGAGCGUUAAUCGGAAUUACUGGGCGUAAAGCGUGCGCAGGCGGUUUUCCAAGACAGAUGUGAAAUCCCCGGGCUCAACCUGGGAAUGGCAGUUGUGACUGGAAGGCUAGAGUGUGGCAGAGGGGGGUAGAAUUCCACGUGUAGCAGUGAAAUGCGUAGAGAUGUGGAGGAAUACCGAUGGCGAAGGCAGCCUUCUGGGCCACCACUGACGCUCAUGCACGAAAGCGUGGGGAGCAAACAGG
RNAcentral lists this ribosomal RNA (253 nucleotides) under uncultured bacterium. RNAcentral describes it as "partial 16S ribosomal RNA". It matches the Rfam family "Bacterial small subunit ribosomal RNA", at positions 524 to 776 of the family's 1533-position model. The record is from RNAcentral.